This 497-nucleotide ribosomal RNA is filed under the name uncultured bacterium. Its description in RNAcentral is "partial 16S ribosomal RNA". It matches the Rfam family "Bacterial small subunit ribosomal RNA", at positions 28 to 507 of the family's 1533-position model. The record is from RNAcentral.
GACGAACGCUGGCGGCGUGCCUAAUACAUGCGAGUUGAGCGCUGAAGGUUGGUACUUGUACCAACUGGAUGAGCAGCGAACGGGUGAGUAACGCGUGGGGAAUCUGCCUUUGAGCGGGGGACAACAUUUGGAAACGAAUGCUAAUACCGCAUAAAAACUUUAAACACAAGUUUUAAGUUUGAAAGAUGCAAUUGCAUCACUCAAAGAUGAUCCCGCGUUGUAUUAGCUAGUUGGUGAGGUAAAGGCUCACCAAGGCGAUGAUACAUAGCCGACCUGAGAGGGUGAUCGGCCACAUUGGGACUGAGACACGGCCCAAACUCCUACGGGAGGCAGCAGCAGGGAAUCUUCGGCAAUAGACGAAAGUCUGACCGAGCAACGCCGCGUGAGUGAAGAAGGUUGUCGGAUCGUAAAACUCUGUUGGUAGAGAAGAACGUUGGUGAGAGUGGAAAGCUCAUCAAGUGACGGUAACUACCCAGAAAGGGACGGCUAACUACGUG